RNAcentral lists this ribosomal RNA (435 nucleotides) under uncultured organism. RNAcentral's name for it is "bacterial SSU rRNA". It matches the Rfam family "Bacterial small subunit ribosomal RNA", at positions 29 to 507 of the family's 1533-position model. The record is from RNAcentral.
AACGAACGCUGGCGGCAGGCUUAACACAUGCAAGUCGAACGGACGUAGCAAUACGUUAGUGGCAGACGGGUGAGUAACGCGUGGGAACGUGCCCUUCAGUUCGGAAUAACUCAGGGAAACUUGAGCUAAUACCGGAUAUUCCCGAGAGGGGAAAGAUUUAUCGCUGAAGGAGCGGCCCGCGUCUGAUUAGCUAGUUGGUGAGGUAAUGGCUCACCAAGGCGACGAUCAGUAGCUGGUCUGAGAGGAUGAUCAGCCACACUGGGACUGAGACACGGCCCAGACUCCUACGGGAGGCAGCAGUGGGGAAUAUUGGACAAUGGGCGCAAGCCUGAUCCAGCCAUGCCGCGUGAGUGAUGAAGGCCUUAGGGUUGUAAAACUCUUUUGUCCGGGAAGAUAAUGACUGUACCGGAAGAAUAAGCCCCGGCUAACUUCGUG